RNAcentral lists this ribosomal RNA (482 nucleotides) under uncultured bacterium. RNAcentral's name for it is "bacterial SSU rRNA". It matches the Rfam family "Bacterial small subunit ribosomal RNA", at positions 26 to 507 of the family's 1533-position model. The record is from RNAcentral.
AGGAUGAACGCUAGGCGGCAGGCUUAACACAUGCAAGUCGAGGGGUAUAGUUCUUCGGAAUUAGAGACCGGCGCACGGGUGCGUAACGCGUAUGCAAUCUACCUUUCACAGAGGGAUAGCCCAGAGAAAUUUGGAUUAAUACCUCAUAGUAUAGCAGUUUCGCAUGAAACCACUAUUAAAGUCACAACGGUGAAAGAUGAGCAUGCGUCCCAUUAGCUAGUUGGUAAGGUAACGGCUUACCAAGGCAACGAUGGGUAGGGGGUCCUGAGAGGGAGAUCCCCCACACUGGUACUGAGACACGGACCAGACUCCUACGGGAGGCAGCAGUGAGGAAUAUUGGACAAUGGGCGCAAGCCUGAUCCAGCCAUGCCGCGUGCAGGAUGACGGUCCUAUGGAUUGUAAACUGCUUUUAUACAGGAAGAAACACUACUUCGUGAAGUAGCUUGACGGUACUGUAAGAAUAAGGAUCGGCUAACUCCGUG